Molecule: ribosomal RNA, 709 nt
Filed under: Helobata sp. SLE0031
Lineage: Eukaryota; Metazoa; Arthropoda; Insecta; Coleoptera; Hydrophilidae
Description: partial 16S ribosomal RNA
Rfam family: Bacterial large subunit ribosomal RNA (bases 1-566)
Source: RNAcentral
UAAUUUAAGGUCUAGCCUGCCCAAUGAGGUUUCAAUGGCUGCGGUAUUUUGACCGUACAAAGGUAGCAUAAUCAUUAGUUUCUUAAUUAGAAGCUGGUAUGAAUGGCUUGAUGAGAAAGAUUCUGUCUUUAUAUAAUUUUAGUAGAAAUUUAUUUUUAGGUUAAAAAGCCUAAAUAUUUUUGGAGGACGAGAAGACCCUAUAGAGUUUAAUUUAAUUUUAAAUUUUGAUUUUGAGGAAUUUAAUUUUAUGGAAUUUGAACUUGAAUUUUGUUGGGGUGACGAGAAAAUUUAAUAAACUUUUUUUUUAUAACUACAUUGAUUUAUGAAUAUUUGAUCCAUUACUAGUGAUUAUAAGAUUAAAUUACCUUAGGGAUAACAGCGUAAUUUUUUUGGUGAGUUCUUAUCGAUAAAAAAGUUUGCGACCUCGAUGUUGGAUUAAAAUUUACUAUUGGCGCAGAAGUUGAAUAGUUAGGUCUGUUCGACCUUUAAAAUUUUACAUGAUCUGAGUUUAAACCGGUGUGAGCCAGGUUGGUUUCUAUCCUUAAUGAGUUAAAAUAUUUUAGUACGAAAGGACCGGAUAUUUAUAAAAUUUAUUUUUGUUUUGAAUAUUAGUUACUUUGGCAGAUUAGUGCAUUAAAUUUAGAAUUUAAAUAUGUAUGUUAUACAGGUAAUACUUGUUUGUUUUUGAUUUUUUACUAAUAUUUAUUAG